This 428-nucleotide ribosomal RNA is filed under the name Bacteroidota bacterium. Its description in RNAcentral is "Bacteroidetes bacterium partial 16S ribosomal RNA". It matches the Rfam family "Bacterial small subunit ribosomal RNA", at positions 355 to 776 of the family's 1533-position model. Lineage: Bacteria; Pseudomonadati; Bacteroidota. The record is from RNAcentral.
UAGGGAAUCUUCCGCAAUGGACGCAAGUCUGACGGAGCAACGCCGCGUGAGUGAAGAAGGAUUUCGGUUCGUAAAACUCUGUUGUUAGAGAAGAACAGCGCAUAGAGUAACUGUUAUGCGUGUGACGGUAUCUAACCAGAAAGCCACGGCUAACUACGUGCCAGCAGCCGCGGUAAUACGUAGGUGGCAAGCGUUGUCCGGAUUUAUUGGGCGUAAGCGAGCGCAGGCGGUCAAUUAAGUCUGAUGUGAUAGCCCCCGGCUCAACCGGGGAGGGUCAUUGGAAACUGGUUGACUUGAGUGCAGAAGAGGAGAGUGGAAUUCCAUGUGUAGCGGUGAAAUGCGUAGAUAUAUGGAGGAACACCAGUGGCGAAGGCGACUCUCUGGUCUGUAACUGACGCUGAGGCUCGAAAGCGUGGGUAGCAAACAGG